This 292-nucleotide ribosomal RNA is filed under the name uncultured bacterium. Its description in RNAcentral is "partial 16S ribosomal RNA". It matches the Rfam family "Bacterial small subunit ribosomal RNA", at positions 505 to 796 of the family's 1533-position model. The record is from RNAcentral.
GUGCCAGCAGCCGCGGUAAGACGAGGGAUCCUAGCGUUGUUCGGAAUUAUUGGGCGUAAAGCGGAUGUAGGUGGCUUUGUAAGUCAGGUGUGAAAGCCUAGGGCUCAACCCUAGAAGUGCAUUUGAUACUGCGAAGCUUGAGUGUGGGAGAGGAUAGUAGAAUUCCUGGUGUAGUGGUAAAAUACGUAGAUAUCAGGAGGAAUACCGGAGGCGAAGGCGGCUAUCUGGCCCAACACUGACACUGAGAUCCGAAAGCGUGGGGAUCAAACAGGAUUAGAUACCCUGGUAGUCC